UAGUCAUUUGGGAAAAACACUUGUGACGCGGCCGACAUAAAAAAGGGGAUAAACAUUAAAUGUACAACGAACUUAUAAGUAACUAUACUGCUGCUCUGCAUAUUCAUAGGACUCGUUUCCGAGAAAUACCCUGUUUUGAUAGAGCACAAUAGAUACAUAGAUACGUAUAUAGCAGACUCGCAACAAAAAGAUACUCGGAAGAAUAUGUAAAUAUUUUGCAGACAAGCACAUCCCCUUUGUUUAUAUGUGAUCGGAUAAAUAUUUGCCGGCAGUCAAGAAGCUGAGGCGCACUGUGAUCUAAUAUAAUCAAGCCUUAAUGUGCAAAUUCAACUCACCGCGCUUGUGCGGGUGUAAAAAACGGUCGUGUCCGAGUCAUGCAGUCAUAAAACACCAAAAACUAAAUAAGGCAAGUCGAGUUUAAUACCAAAACCACCCCCCCACCCCUCACCCGUUGCUCGGUCACAUAAAAACUACCCACCAUCGAUCGAGAAAUAAACCUGUAGUCCAAUCCAACAGACAGCUGGUGGUGAUGAUCUCAAUGUGCCCGACGACGACGUCUGAUUUGUGGAAUCAUCGCAGCAACUAAGAAGAUCUUAAACGCCCGACUUCGCAGUUCGCGGGUUCAACGCUUCCUAAGGCGAUAUCUACUGUGCAGCGCGUGAACCGAAAGAAAUUGGACUAGAUUACAGCUUUCUCCCAUCAAUUAUAGUUCACAACUUAAUGAUUAAACAUAGCAACAAAGCAAAAUAGCUAUAACCAUGUUAGAACUUUCCAAAUAAUAUUAACUAAACUACUAUAUGUUUUAUGGUUAUUUAGGCACCAUUAACUCUUGUGAUUUUCUGCUGUGUACUUGGACACUGCACAUGGUGCAUCUAGAUCAAAUCCGCUGGACGACAAUGGACUUCCACUGGAUGCCACAGCGAGAAGUCAAGCCUGGCUGCCUGCUUUUGUUAUUUUUUUUGUGGAGUGUGCAACUUGGAGCGUUUGUUGCAUUGACAAUGAAGUUAUUAAAGCGCAAAACCGCAACCAAACAACCACCUGAGGUUAUUUUUCUUUUUCAGCAACGGAAACAUGUGAUUAGCUUGCACUAGGCACUGGGUGAAGUAAAAAACGUACUCCGCUUGUCGAAAUAGACGUCUUACCAGUUCACUCCAUAAAUCCACCUGAUACUAAACCAACUUUUUAUUAGCGAAAGUAGAAAAUCACUUGGAAUCCCCCCGUCAACACAAUUCAGCGCCGAAAUUGAAGGGCAGCAUGAUGGAUCGCCUUAAUUGGCGAGUUGUUUCGACUUGAGUUGCCCAAUUUGUAGCAAGUAGCUCAAUGGAUUUGUAGAUUGCCUACAUUUUUCCAAUUAGCCAGACAAAAAGUGUUGGCCCAAGCAGAUGGGUUUAGUUAAUCCAAUAUGUGUGUGUAUAGCCACAGGUGUUCAAUGUUCUGCUGACUUAAGAGCCGCCAGUCACGUAAAGAGAUUUCAACGUCUGGAGUUCGCCGGAUGACAUUACUUAUAGGAGUUAAUUGCCAAUUCUGGUUUAACAUCAUCUUAACAUAAUUUGUGAGCUUAAUAAAAUGUUUGAUUUAAGCACUUGAAA
Drosophila simulans is the source of this 1589-nucleotide long non-coding RNA. RefSeq lists it as uncharacterized. The transcript has 2 exons. The record is from RefSeq and is a predicted model, not a curated record. NCBI's taxonomy places the organism in Eukaryota, Metazoa, Arthropoda, Insecta, Diptera, Drosophilidae.